UGCGGGAUCGCGUGCGCCGGCUCCGACGGGCCGGCCGGCAGUUGCAGAAAACCAUGUGUCAGGGGAACCGGGUUGAAUACCGGGCCGCAGAGGGUGAGGGCCCCGUACCUGAACGCGCAUGGUCUGCCGAUCGCGUCUCCCAAGUAGCACGGGUCCCGUGGAACCCCGUGCGAAUCCGCCCAGACCGUUGGGUAAGCCUGAAUAUUCCUGUCUGACCGAUAGCGAACGAGUACCGUGAGGGAAAGGUGAAAAGUACCCCGGGAGGGGAGUGAAACAGUCUCUGAAACCGUGCGCCUACAAUCCGUCGGAGCCCUUUUGUGGGGUGACGGCGUGCCUAUCGAAAAAUGAGUCUGCGAGUCAGUGGCAUGUGGCGAGCAUAACCCGUGUGGGGUAUGCGUAGCGAAGGCGAGUCUUAAAAGGCGUUUGAGUCGCGUGUCCUGGACCCGAAGCGGGAUGAUCUAGCCCUGAGCAGGUUGAAGCGCGGGUAAGACCGCGUGGAGGACCGAACCCACCUGGGUUGAAAACCGGGGGGAUGACCUGGGGCUAGGGGUGAAAGGCCAAUCAAAUUCCGUGAUAGCUGGUUCUCUCCGAAAUGCAUUUAGGUGCAGCGUCGGUCGAUUGCGUCGCGGGGGUAGAGCUACCGGAUGCUUGCGGGCCCUUGUUGGGUACCAACAGCAGCCGAACUCCGAAUACCGUUGACGUGUAUUCCGGCAGUGAGUCGGCGGGGGAUAAGCUCCGUCGUCGAGAGGGAGACAGCCCAGACCGUCGUCUAAGGUCCCGAAGCGUGUGCUAAGUGGGAAAGGAUGUGGAGUCGCAUAGACAGCCAGGAGGUUGGCUCAGAAGCAGCCAUCCUUGAAAGAGUGCGUAACAGCUCACUGGUCUAGUGGUUCCGCGCCGACAAUGUAGCGGGGCUCAAGCACACCACCGAAGACGCGGCAGCAAUCUUCAUGGUUGCUGGGUAGGAGAGCGUCCUGCGAGGGGCGAAGCGGCCGGGUGACCGUGCCGUGGACUUCGUGGGAGUGAGAAUGCAGACAUGAGUAGCGAGAGACGGGUGAGGAUCCCGUCCGCUGGAUGACCAAGGGUUCCGGGGCCACGUUCGUCGUCCCCGGGUGAGUCGGGUCCUAAGGCGAGGCCGACAGGCGUAGUCGAAUGGAUGAACGGGUGGAUAUUCCCGUACCGACCAUGGACCGGCAAAACCGAGACGGUGAGUACUAACCUCCGCCUCGUGGUGGUUCCUUCCUUCGGGUUGGUUCCGCCGCGUGGUGUUGGGACCGUAGCCGUAGUAGGUCAGCGCAGGGGUGACACGGAAUGGGAGCCGGCCGCGGAGGUGGUUUUCCGUGGUCAAGCACGCAGCCAGUCAUGUAGGCAAAUCCGCAUGGCGCGCAUGGCGAGGUGUGAUGAUGGGAGCCGUUAUGGCUCGAUAUCCGGUUGUCCAGGCCGUCGAGAAAAGCCUCGGCGUGAGGGCCAUGGCCGCCCGUACCCCAAACCGACACUGGUGGUCAGGUAGAGAAUACCAAGGCGAUCGAGCGAAUCCUGGUCAAGGAACUCGGCAAAUCACUCCCGUUCCUUCGGUUUAAGGGAGACCCCCGAUGGUGAACACACUUGCUGUGGGAGCUUUUGGGGGUGGCACAGACCAGGGGGUAGCGACUGUUUACCAAAAACACAGGUGCAUGCGAAGGCGCAAGCCGCUGUAUAUGCACUGACGCCUGCCCGGUGCCGGAAGGUUAAGAGGAUCCGUCAGCCUUCGGGUGAAGCGGUGAAUUCAAGCCCCGGUAAACGGCGGUGGUAACUAUAACCAUCCUAAGGUAGCGAAAUUCCUUGUCGGGUAAGUUCCGACCUGCACGAAUGGCGUAACGACUUCCCCACUGUCUCGACCAGGAGCUCGGCGAAAUUGCAGUACGAGUAAAGAUGCUCGUUAAGCGCAGAAGGACGAAAAGACCCCGGGACCUUUACUAUACCUUGGUAUUGGCAUUCGGUGUGGAUUGUGUAGCAUAGGCGGGAGGCCGAGAGGCGCGGUCGCCAGAUCGCGCGGAGCCGUAAGGUGAAAUACCGCUCUGUUCGCAUUGGAUGUCUAACCUCGAACAGUCAUCCUGUUCAGGGACAGUGCCUGGCGGGUAGUUUAACUGGGGCGGUUGCCUCCCAAAGAGUAACGGAGGCGCCCAAAGGUCCGCUCAGCCCGGUUGGCAAUCGGGUGGCGAGUGCAAGUGCACAAGCGGGCUUGACUGCGAGGACGACGGUCCGAGCAGGGACGAAAGUCGGGACUAGUGAUCCGGUGCCGGUGUACGGACGCGGCAUCGCUCAACGGAUAAAAGGUACCCCGGGGAUAACAGGCUGAUCAU
This 2339-nucleotide ribosomal RNA is filed under the name human gut metagenome. RNAcentral describes it as "bacterial LSU rRNA". It matches the Rfam family "Bacterial large subunit ribosomal RNA", at positions 296 to 2489 of the family's 2925-position model. The record is from RNAcentral.